RNAcentral lists this ribosomal RNA (495 nucleotides) under uncultured bacterium. Its description in RNAcentral is "partial 16S ribosomal RNA". It matches the Rfam family "Bacterial small subunit ribosomal RNA", at positions 29 to 506 of the family's 1533-position model. The record is from RNAcentral.
AUGAACGCUGGCGGCGUGCCUAAUACAUGCAAGUCGAGCGAACAGAUGAGGAGCUUGCUCCUCUGACGUUAGCGGCGGACGGGUGAGUAACACGUGGAUAACCUACCUAUAAGACUGGGAUAACUUCGGGAAACCGGAGCUAAUACCGGAUAAUAUAUUGAACCGCAUGGUUCAAUAGUGAAAGACGGUUUUGCUGUCACUUAUAGAUGGAUCCGCGCCGCAUUAGCUAGUUGGUAAGGUAACGGCUUACCAAGGCAACGAUGCGUAGCCGACCUGAGAGGGUGAUCGGCCACACUGGAACUGAGACACGGUCCAGACUCCUACGGGAGGCAGCAGUAGGGAAUCUUCCGCAAUGGGCGAAAGCCUGACGGAGCAACGCCGCGUGAGUGAUGAAGGUCUUCGGAUCGUAAAACUCUGUUAUUAGGGAAGAACAAAUGUGUAAGUAACUAUGCACGUCUUGACGGUACCUAAUCAGAAAGCCUCGGCUAACUACGU